Molecule: long non-coding RNA, 1802 nt
Organism: Quercus robur (English oak)
Lineage: Eukaryota; Viridiplantae; Streptophyta; Magnoliopsida; Fagales; Fagaceae
Exons: 2
Source: RefSeq, a predicted model, not a curated record
UUUAGAUUUAUUGUCUACCCUUUUUUUUACCUCUCUUUACAGUUCACAUUACGCGUGUACUUUAUUUUAUGUCUCUCACCGAAUCUUCAUCUUUCAUUCAUUCAAUCUCUACCUUUUCAACCACUCCUCCGCCUCUAAAAACCACAUCUCCACCGUCUGCACUAAACACCAUAUCUUCCACCCUCCCUUCGACCUUCUCUGCGUCUCUCUCUCUCUGUGUCGCAAGAAGAGAGAUCUUAGGUAUGGCUUUUUUUUUGUUAAUUGUCAUCAGAUCAUGUGUUCAUCGGUGCGGUUGACCGGUUUUUGGAGGUAUUUAUUUUUUCACUACACACAGAGAAGAGAUGGCAUCUCUUUUCUCUAAGAUGAGGAGCCUCCACCACAAAGCCGAGGUUGCAGAUCGGAGUAAAGCAAAAAAGGGGGAUGGGGUAGAUCGGAACGCCGUGUCGAGAUUAUGUUUUCAUGGCUGUUCGGUGUUCAUUAGUGCGGUUGACCUUAUUUUUCAAGGAGUUAUAUUUGAACCACACACACCCAGUCGAGAGAGAGAUAUCAUGACAUCGGUUUCUCCAAGAUAAGAACACCUCCAAGGUUGUUGGCGAUGGCUGUCUGUGUGUUCAGACAUCGGCCGAUCUGAGUAGAGCAAAGGUGGAUGGGUAGAUCGCCGAUCGAUAAGGUGUGAACUUUCGUUGGUUUAUCGAGACCUAUCUAUCAAAGGUUGGCUCUAUCAUACAAAUGCUAGAGAUUGAUAUAGUGGAGGACAGGGUGUAAACUUACGGAAAGGAUGCCCAGCAUGCAUAAGACAGAAAAGUGAGUGCAGGUGAAUUAACUUACAGUUGCCUAGAAGUAGAUGUUUUGACAAGGAAAGGUUUAUCACUAUCCAUAGUAGUGCCAACCUUAACUUUAGAUUGUUCUCCAUUUCUGUCCUGGUCACUCCCGCCGUAUUCUAAUGAUACUGAAUCAAUUGAUCCCUGAAGAGAUGAAGGCAAUGGCACCUUGUCUGGUGGGACAUAUAUGAGAAUGAAUACAGAUAUUGCUAACAUGGUAAAUGCAACCCACACUGACAUGGUUAAGAGAGAUAUUGUCUCCACCUCACAACUGUUGCAAUAUUUGCAGUAAGAGGAUAAUCACCUGAUGCAUCCUCUUUUACAAGUAAAGGUUUAUCACUAUCCAUGGAAGUGCCAACCUUAACUUUAGAUUGUUCUCCAUGGCUGUCCUGGCCACUUCUACCAUAUUCUUUAAUGGACCCCUGAAGAGAUGAAGGCAAUGGCACUUUUGUCUGGUGGGACAUAUCUGGGUAUCAAUAGGUUAAGAGAGCUAUUGUCUCCACCUCACAAUUUUUACAAUAUUUUUAGUUUCCCACAUAUUUUUGCAUAUUUUUACAACUGUUACAAUAUUUUUCUAAUAUAUCAUAAAGUGUGAGGUAAUUUGCAUAUGUUUCCAAUAAAGUAAGGCUUUAGUGAGUUUAUCAGAUAGGCCAGAAUUGCAUAGUCUAAUGAAACGUGUUUUCUAGCUUUAUUUCAGGAAGAGACAAGCACCAAAAUAAAAGAAACAAAAGUAAUGACAAAGAACAAGAAUGCAUUGGAAUUGAGAGAUGUUUGAGAGAUCUGUGGAUCUUCUAAAGUCUUUUCUAGUUGGGACGUUAUUUGUGUGGUCUCAUACUGGGGUUGUAUUUGAUUUCCUUCAAUCUGCUUACAUAUUUUUGUCUUGUUUCAAGUACACUUUGUAAACAUGAUGGACUUUUUUAAAAAUGAAAUUAUCCAUUACCUAUCAAACAAAAACAAGAAGAUUGCGCUGGAGCUGCUGAA